UACGGAGGGGGCUAGCGUUGUUCGGAAUUACUGGGCGUAAAGCGCGCGUAGGCGGACCUGCAAGUCGGGGGUGAAAGCCCGAGGCUCAACCUCGGAACUGCCUUCGAUACUGCGGGUCUCGAGUCCGGGAGAGGUGAGUGGAAUUCCUAGUGUAGAGGUGAAAUUGGUAGAUAUUAGGAAGAACACCAGUGGCGAAGGCGACUUACUGGACACAUAUUGACGCUGAGGUGCGAAAGCGUGGGGAGCAAACAGG
RNAcentral lists this ribosomal RNA (253 nucleotides) under uncultured bacterium. RNAcentral's name for it is "partial 16S ribosomal RNA". It matches the Rfam family "Bacterial small subunit ribosomal RNA", at positions 524 to 776 of the family's 1533-position model. The record is from RNAcentral.